This 72-nucleotide transfer RNA is filed under the name Pecten maximus. RNAcentral's name for it is "tRNA-Met". The record is from RNAcentral. Lineage: Eukaryota; Metazoa; Mollusca; Bivalvia; Pectinida; Pectinidae.
AGCAGGGUAGUAUAUGUGUAGUACGUUGGGUUCAUGCCCCGCUAGUGGGAAGAUGUUUCUUCCCUCCUGCCU